RNAcentral lists this ribosomal RNA (439 nucleotides) under Trox terrestris. Its description in RNAcentral is "partial 16S ribosomal RNA". The stretch from base 1 to 155 matches the Rfam family "Archaeal large subunit ribosomal RNA", at positions 1898 to 2099 of the family's 2987-position model. Lineage: Eukaryota; Metazoa; Arthropoda; Insecta; Coleoptera; Trogidae. The record is from RNAcentral.
AACAAAAACAUGUCUUUUUGAUUAUAAUUUAAAGUCUAACCUGCCCAAUGAAUUAUUUGAAUGGCCGCGGUAUUUUGACCGUGCUAAGGUAGCAUAAUAAUUAGUUUUUUAAUUGAAAACUGGUAUGAAUGGUUGAACGAGGAAAAAACUGUCUCAAUUUAAUUUAAUUAGAAUUUUAUUUUUAAGUAAAAAAGCUUAAAUAUGUUUAAAAGACGAGAAGACCCUAUAGAGUUUGAUAUUUUAUUAAAAAUUAAAUUAUUAUAUUUUUUUUUUAAUUUUAAUUAAAGUAUUUUAUUGGGGUGAUAAAAAAAUUGAAUAAACUUUUUUUAAAUUUUAUCAUUAAUUUAUGAAUAAGUGAUCCAUGAUUUAUGAUUAUAAGAUUAAAUUACCUUAGGGAUAACAGCGUAAUUUUUUUUGAGAGUUCAUAUCGAAAAAAGAG